CAAGUCGAGCGGCAGCGCGGGGCAACCUGGCGGCGAGCGGCGAACGGGUGAGUAAUGCAUCGGAACAUGUCCAUUGGUGGGGGAUAGCCCGGCGAAAGCCGGAUUAAUACCGCAUGAGCCCGAGAGGGGAAAGUGGGGGACCGCAAGGCCUCACGUCGAUGGGUUGGCCGAUGUCCGAUUAGCUAGUUGGUGGGGUAAAGGCCCACCAAGGCGAUGAUCGGUAGCUGGUCUGAGAGGAUGAUCAGCCACACUGGGACUGAGACACGGCCCAGACUCCUACGGGAGGCAGCAGUGGGGAAUUUUGGACAAUGGGGGCAACCCUGAUCCAGCCAUUCCGCGUGAGUGAAGAAGGCCUUCGGGUUGUAAAGCUCUUUUGUCCGGAACGAAACGGGUAAGGCUAAUACUCUUGCCUACUGACGGUACCGGAAGAAUAAGCACCGGCUAACUACGUGCCAGCAGCCGCGGUAAUACGUAGGGUGCGAGCGUUAAUCGGAAUUACUGGGCGUAAAGCGUGCGCAGGCGGUUUUGUAAGCCAGAUGUGAAAUCCCCGGGCUUAACCUGGGAAUGGCAUUUGGGACUGCAAGGCUCGAGUGCGGCAGAGGAGACUGGAAUUCCUGGUGUAGCAGUGAAAUGCGUAGAUAUCAGGAGGAAUACCGAUGGCGAAGGCAGGUCUCUGGGCUGACACUGACGCUCAUGCACGAAAGCGUGGGGAGCAAACAGGAUUAGAUACCCUGGUAGUCCACGCCCUAAACGAUGUCGACUGGUUGUUGGGGGUUUGACACUCUCAGUAACGAAGCUAACGCGUGAAGUCGACCGCCUGGGGAGUACGGCCGCAAGGUUAAAACUCAAAGGAAUUGACGGGGACCCGCACAAGCGGUGGAUUAUGUGGA
RNAcentral lists this ribosomal RNA (890 nucleotides) under uncultured beta proteobacterium. RNAcentral's name for it is "bacterial SSU rRNA". It matches the Rfam family "Bacterial small subunit ribosomal RNA", at positions 58 to 945 of the family's 1533-position model. The record is from RNAcentral. Lineage: Bacteria; Pseudomonadati; Pseudomonadota; Betaproteobacteria.